UGUUAAAAGUUUUAAACAUUUUUAUAGUUAAAAAUUAGCAUGGUUGACAAAAUAAUCAGACAAUAAUACAUGGCAUGCCAACGUCAUGUCUACCUCAUUAUGACGUAUAAGGACUAAUUUUUAAUAGAAGAAAUGAAUGGAAUUUUUAACA
Molecule: non-coding RNA, 151 nt
Organism: Gossypium hirsutum (cotton)
Lineage: Eukaryota; Viridiplantae; Streptophyta; Magnoliopsida; Malvales; Malvaceae
Source: Rfam